GAGGCUAAUACCGCAUAACACUUACGAGUCAAAGCAGCAAUGCGCUUGAAGAGGAGUUCGCGGCAGAUUAGUUAGUUGGCGGGGUAAUGGCCCACCAAGACGAUGAUCUGUAUCCGGCCUGAGAGGGCGCACGGACACACUGGAACUGACACACGGUCCAGAAUCCUACGGGAGGCAGCAGUGGGGAAUUUUGCGCAAUGGGGGAAACCCUGACGCAGCAACGCCGCGUGGAGGAUGAAAUCCCUUGCGAUGUAAACUCCUUUCGAUCGGGACGAUUAUGACGGUACCGGAAGAAGAAGCCCCGGCUAACUUCGUGCCAGCAGCCGCGGUAAUACCAGGGGGGCAAGCGUUGUUCGGAAUUAUUGGGCGUAAAGGGCGCGUAGGCGGAUUGACAAGUCUGAUGUGAAAUCUCUGGGCUCAACCCAGAGUCUGCAUUAUAAACUGUCGGGCUUGAGUAUGGGAGAGGUGAGUGGAAUUUCCGGUGUAGCGGUGAAAUGCGUAGAUAUCGGAAGGAACACCUGUGGCGAAAGCGGCUCACUGGACCAUAACUGACGCUGAGGCGCGAAAGCUAGGGGAGCAAACAGGAUUAGAUACCCUGGUAGUCCUAGCCCUAAAACGAUGAUUGCUUGGUGGUGACAGGGUACCCAAUCCUGUCGUGCCGAAGCUAACGCGA
RNAcentral lists this ribosomal RNA (673 nucleotides) under Edaphobacter sp. Its description in RNAcentral is "bacterial SSU rRNA". It matches the Rfam family "Bacterial small subunit ribosomal RNA", at positions 159 to 860 of the family's 1533-position model. Lineage: Bacteria; Pseudomonadati; Acidobacteriota; Terriglobia; Terriglobales; Acidobacteriaceae. The record is from RNAcentral.